UGAAAGACGGUCUUGCUGUCACUUAUAGAUGGAUCCGCGCUGCAUUAGCUAGUUGGUAAGGUAACGGCUUACCAAGGCAACGAUGCAUAGCCGACCUGAGAGGGUGAUCGGCCACACUGGAACUGAGACACGGUCCAGACUCCUACGGGAGGCAGCAGUAGGGAAUCUUCCGCAAUGGGCGAAAGCCUGACGGAGCAACGCCGCGUGAGUGAUGAAGGUCUUCGGAUCGUAAAACUCUGUUAUUAGGGAAGAACAUAUGUGUAAGUAACUGUGCACAUCUUGACGGUACCUAAUCAGAAAGCCACGGCUAACUACGUGCCAGCAGCCGCGGUAAUACGUAGGUGGCAAGCGUUAUCCGGAAUUAUUGGGCGUAAAGCGCGCGUAGGCGGUUUUUUAAGUCUGAUGUGAAAGCCCACGGCUCAACCGUGGAGGGUCAUUGGAAACUGGAAAACUUGAGUGCAGAAGAGGAAAGUGGAAUUCCAUGUGUAGCGGUGAAAUGCGCAGAGAUAUGGAGGAACACCAGUGGCGAAGGCGACUUUCUGGUCUGUAACUGACGCUGAUGUGCGAAAGCGUGGGGAUCAAACAGGAUUAGAUACCCUGGUAGUCCACGCCGUAAACGA
This 620-nucleotide ribosomal RNA is filed under the name Staphylococcus aureus. Its description in RNAcentral is "bacterial SSU rRNA". It matches the Rfam family "Bacterial small subunit ribosomal RNA", at positions 201 to 809 of the family's 1533-position model. The record is from RNAcentral. Lineage: Bacteria; Bacillati; Bacillota; Bacilli; Caryophanales; Staphylococcaceae.